RNAcentral lists this ribosomal RNA (700 nucleotides) under uncultured bacterium. RNAcentral's name for it is "bacterial SSU rRNA". It matches the Rfam family "Bacterial small subunit ribosomal RNA", at positions 62 to 757 of the family's 1533-position model. The record is from RNAcentral.
UCGGGCGGCAGCAUGGACUUCGGUCUGAUGGCGAGCGGCGAACGGGUGAGUAAUGCAUCGGAACGUACCCAGUCGUGGGGGAUAACGUAGCGAAAGUUACGCUAAUACCGCAUACGUCCUACGGGAGAAAGCAGGGGAUCGCAAGACCUUGCGCGAUUGGAGCGGCCGAUGUCUGAUUAGCUAGUUGGUGGGGUAAAGGCCCACCAAGGCGACGAUCAGUAGCGGGUCUGAGAGGAUGAUCCGCCACACUGGGACUGAGACACGGCCCAGACUCCUACGGGAGGCAGCAGUGGGGAAUUUUGGACAAUGGGCGCAAGCCUGAUCCAGCCAUUCCGCGUGAGUGAAGAAGGCCUUCGGGUUGUAAAGCUCUUUCGGCAGGAACGAAACGGCGGGCUCUAACAUAGCCUGUUAAUGACGGUACCUGAAGAAGAAGCACCGGCUAACUACGUGCCAGCAGCCGCGGUAAUACGUAGGGUGCGAGCGUUAAUCGGAAUUACUGGGCGUAAAGCGUGCGCAGGCGGCUUUUUAAGCCAGAUGUGAAAUCCCCGGGCUUAACCUGGGAACUGCAUUUGGAACUGGAAGGCUAGAGUGCGGCAGAGGGGGGUAGAAUUCCACGUGUAGCAGUGAAAUGCGUAGAGAUGUGGAGGAACACCGAUGGCGAAGGCAGCCCCCUGGGUCGACACUGACGCUCAUGCACGAA